GAUGAACGCUGGCGGCGUGCCUAAUACAUGCAAGUCGAGCGAACGGACGAGAAGCUUGCUUCUCUGAUGUUAGCGGCGGACGGGUGAGUAACACGUGGAUAACCUACCUAUAAGACUGGGAUAACUUCGGGAAACCGGAGCUAAUACCGGAUAAUAUUUUGAACCGCAUGGUUCAAAAGUGAAAGACGGUCUUGCUGUCACUUAUAGAUGGAUCCGCGCUGCAUUAGCUAGUUGGUAAGGUAACGGCUUACCAAGGCAACGAUGCAUAGCCGACCUGAGAGGGUGAACGGCCACACUGGAACUGAGACACGGUCCAGACUCCUACGGGAGGCAGCAGUAGGGAAUCUUCCGCAAUGGGCGAAAGCCUGACGGAGCAACGCCGCGUGAGUGAUGAAGGUCUUCGGAUCGUAAAACUCUGUUAUUAGGGAAGAACAUAUGUGUAAGUAACUGUGCUCAUCUUGACGGUACCUAAUCAGAAAGCCACGGCUAACUACGUG
RNAcentral lists this ribosomal RNA (497 nucleotides) under uncultured bacterium. RNAcentral's name for it is "partial 16S ribosomal RNA". It matches the Rfam family "Bacterial small subunit ribosomal RNA", at positions 28 to 507 of the family's 1533-position model. The record is from RNAcentral.